Molecule: ribosomal RNA, 244 nt
Filed under: uncultured bacterium
Lineage: Bacteria
Description: partial small subunit ribosomal RNA
Rfam family: Bacterial small subunit ribosomal RNA
Source: RNAcentral
AGAAUCAACGCUGGCGGCGUGCCUAACACAUGCAAGUCGAACGAGAAAGUGGAGCAAUCCAUGAGUAAAGUGGCGACCGGGUGAGUAACACGUGACUAACCUACCUUCGAGUGGGGGAUAACAUCGGGAAACCGAUGCUAAUACCGCAUAACAUCGCAAGAUCAAAGCAGUAAUGCGCUUGAAGAGGGGGUCGCGGCUGAUUAGCUAGUUGGCGGGGUAAUGGCCCACAAGACGGUGAUCUGUA